Molecule: long non-coding RNA, 807 nt
Filed under: Anas platyrhynchos platyrhynchos (common mallard)
Lineage: Eukaryota; Metazoa; Chordata; Aves; Anseriformes; Anatidae
Description: lncRNA (ENSAPLG00000024481.1)
Source: RNAcentral
UUUUGUUUGUUUUAGGUGUGUCAUGUUGAGAUGCAAUAUGACCUGCUGCUAUUGCCAGAGCAUUCUGGACUGUGGAUCAUGAACAGACAGAGCUAUUUAACGUCAGUUUCACUCCUGAAGAAAGCUUUCAUGGAUUUCAGGUUCCCUCCUGUCCUCUCUGUUUUCUUUUGCCAGUGAUUUGGGUUGCCUUAACUUUGAAAGCUGCCUCUGCAGUGAAUGUAUGGUCUGGUGACAGCUGAGUGCGGUGCUAUGGUGACCAGGAGCUCUCAGCGAGGCACCACAGGGCAGGAGGCUGACAGUCACCUACAGACACGCUCCCUCAAGAACACAUGCAUGCAACAUGCAGCUGCAAUGGAAAUGGAAGUACACCUGUGCGCAUCACCACUGGCUGCUGCAAGCUGUUUGAGCUCCUGUGACACUGAUGAGGGGAUGUCUCUGUGCCUUCAUCACCAAGCUAUUAAAGGCAAGCUUUUUUUUUCUUUCUAUUGUAAUCCCAACAAAACACCUAAAGUAGCCUCAAUAACAAUGAAGUUAGACAUUCAGUACAUCGGAAUAUUUUAUUUUCACUUUACAUGCGGUGUUAAAAACCCAAAGAACGUAUUAUUUACACAUCCACAAUACAAGUUUACAAGAUAUCUAUACAUGUUAAAGUACUCUAUAGUAUAGAGCAGCUUCAUUUAAGGGUUACUUUUUUAUGCCGUACCAUUAAAAAAGAUACAAUCUGCGUUUACCUUUGCACAAAUGGAUAAAGCAUCUUUUAUUAUUAAAUUAACAGAAUAAAGACUAGGUUGAAUGUUAGAAAUUUCA